GGCCGGAUAGCUCAGUGGUUAGAGCAUCUGGUAUAUAUCCGGAAGGUCCUGGGUUCAAUUCCCUGUCUGGUCA
Hebeloma cylindrosporum is the source of this 73-nucleotide transfer RNA. It matches the Rfam family "tRNA". Rfam says of the family: Transfer RNA (tRNA) molecules are approximately 80 nucleotides in length. Their secondary structure includes four short double-helical elements and three loops (D, anti-codon, and T loops). Further hydrogen bonds mediate the characteristic L-shaped molecular structure. tRNAs have two regions of fundamental functional importance: the anti-codon, which is responsible for specific mRNA codon recognition, and the 3' end, to which the tRNAs corresponding amino acid is attached (by aminoacyl-tRNA synthetases). tRNAs cope with the degeneracy of the genetic code in two manners: having more than one tRNA (with a specific anti-codon) for a particular amino acid; and 'wobble' base-pairing, i.e. permitting non-standard base-pairing at the 3rd anti-codon position. The record is from Rfam. NCBI's taxonomy places the organism in Eukaryota, Fungi, Basidiomycota, Agaricomycetes, Agaricales, Hymenogastraceae.